Molecule: ribosomal RNA, 496 nt
Filed under: uncultured bacterium
Lineage: Bacteria
Description: partial 16S ribosomal RNA
Rfam family: Bacterial small subunit ribosomal RNA
Source: RNAcentral
AUGCACGCUGGCGGCGUGCCUCAUACCUGCAAGUCGAGCGCACGGACGAGAAGCUUGCUUUUCUGAUGUUAGCGGCGGACGGGUGAGUAACACGUGGAUAACCUACCUAUAAGACUGGGAUAACUUCGGGAAACCGGAGCUAAUACCGGAUAAUAUUUUGAACCGCAUGGUUCAAAAGUGAAAGACGGUCUUGCUGUCACUUAUAGAUGGAUCCGCGCUGCAUUAGCUAGUUGGUAAGGUAACGGCUUACCAAGGCAACGAUGCAUAGCCGACCUGAGAGGGUGAUCGGCCACACUGGAACUGAGACACGGUCCAGACUCCUACGGGAGGCAGCAGUAGGGAAUCUUCCGCAAUGGGCGAAAGCCUGACGGAGCAACGCCGCGUGAGUGAUGAAGGUCUUCGGAUCGCAAAACUCUGUUAUUAGGGAAGAACAUAUGUGUAAGUAACUGUGCACAUCUUGACGGUACCUAAUCAGAAAGCCACGGCUAACUACGUG